UACGAAGGGGGCUAGCGUUGUUCGGAAUUACUGGGCGUAAAGCGCCCGUAGGCGGACUAUUAAGUCAGGGGUGAAAUCCCGGGGCUCAACCCCGGAACUGCCUUUGAUACUGGUAGUCUCGAGUCCGGAAGAGGUAAGUGGAACUGCGAGUGUAGAGGUGAAAUUCGUAGAUAUUCGCAAGAACACCAGUGGCGAAGGCGGCUUACUGGUCCGGUUCUGACGCUGAGGCGCGAAAGCGUGGGGAGCAAACAGG
Molecule: ribosomal RNA, 253 nt
Filed under: uncultured bacterium
Lineage: Bacteria
Description: partial 16S ribosomal RNA
Rfam family: Bacterial small subunit ribosomal RNA
Source: RNAcentral